This 254-nucleotide ribosomal RNA is filed under the name uncultured bacterium. RNAcentral's name for it is "partial 16S ribosomal RNA". It matches the Rfam family "Bacterial small subunit ribosomal RNA", at positions 524 to 776 of the family's 1533-position model. The record is from RNAcentral.
UACGUAGGAGGCGAGCGUUGUCCGGAUUUAUUGGGCGUAAAGAGCUCGUAGGCGGUUCCGUAAGUCGUGAAGUCAAAUCUCUGGGCUCAACCCAGAAUCGCUUCCGAUACUGCGGUGACUGGAGUCCGGUAGGGGAGUGUGGAAUUCCUGGUGUAGCGGUGAAAUGCGCAGAUAUCAGGAGGAACACCAACAGCGAAGGCAGCACUCUGGGCCGGUACUGACGCUGAGGAGCGAAAGCAUGGGGAGCGAACAGG